UGCUGAGCCUUCAUUUCUAGGGUUAGAUUCGUUUAUCCCAUCUCUCUCCUCUCACCUGCCUCCUCCCGUCUCUCUCCCCAUCUCACUUUUCUCUCUCCUCUCACGUUCCUAGGAUACACUUCCUCGCCGUCGUCCCUCAUCAAUGGCGUCUGUCAUCUCUCCUUCGAUCUUCUUCCUCUCCUUCAAUUCGAGCAGGUUUUCAGAUUUAAGUGUUGUCAAUCUUCCGAUGCUGAGAAAAGCUUCAAAUCAAACAAUCGGAAGGUGAGAAGAAGAAGAAAAAGAUGACGUUUGGGUUUUCCGGAGAUGUGUUCUACGGCGGAGGCGGUGCAAGGACCGGCGGAGGGAGGGCAGGGAUGGCGAGUGUUCGACAACAACAGCUUCAAAUCAAACAUCAGCAAUAAUCCCGAGUGUAUUAUUAAGACGGUGUUAUGGAGAUUUGGAGAAUGAGCCAAAGCCUUCUGCUGCUGUGGAAGGGACACAAAAUUCCAAAUUGGGCGUAGUAUGGAUAGCUUAUGCAAGCUUCUCUAACAGCUCUGUUGAAUCUCUAUUAUACUUUAUCUCUAUUAAACUUUAGCCUGCUCAUAGAACUGUUUUAUUGUAACAUGAUCCAAAACCUCCUCUAAUAGUAGAAAACUCAUAGUACCCUUGCAUACUGUGAAAUGUAUAGGAACUACCAUCGCAGCAGUAUAAAACUAAUUGGUUUUGAAUGAUUUUUGAAUUGUGUUAUGUGGGUUGAUUGAUUGUUCAUCUUAUUUUUUCUAGGUUGGAGUUGGUGAUCGCCGGGGAAGAUCAUACAUGUAAACUCUCAAUGGGGACAAACUCUGGCAAGGUGGAGCCGAGUUGGGUGUCGUCGUCGGUGGAAAAGAUUGGAGAAAUUUGGAUGGUGGUGGUCCACGUAGCAGGGCCGGCGGUUUAAGUGUUUAUUUAGCUGGGCCGGAUGGGCGGGUCUUAGGAGGUGGUGUUGCCGGUGUUUUAAUAGCUGCGUCCCCAGUACAGAUUGAAAGUUUGCCACAAAUGGUUGAUGGUGUUUGUUCAGAUGACGGAAAUGCUCAACUUGAAGCUACUACUCAUUUCCGCAAGCUGCUUUCAAUAGGUAGCUAUCUGAUGUUCUCUAUAUGUAUUGGACUAUGGGAAUAUGUGUAUAAGCAUCUUACUUUGCGUAAAAGGUAGAGAAAUUCUUAUAAAUUCUUAUAUUGCCUUUUUAUAUCACUAUAUUACUAUAUUCUCCUG
This is a long non-coding RNA of Spinacia oleracea (spinach), 1230 nucleotides long. RefSeq lists it as uncharacterized. NCBI's taxonomy places the organism in Eukaryota, Viridiplantae, Streptophyta, Magnoliopsida, Caryophyllales, Amaranthaceae. The transcript has 6 exons. The record is from RefSeq and is a predicted model, not a curated record.